RNAcentral lists this transfer RNA (73 nucleotides) under Trichonephila inaurata madagascariensis. It matches the Rfam family "tRNA". From Rfam's summary of the family: Transfer RNA (tRNA) molecules are approximately 80 nucleotides in length. Lineage: Eukaryota; Metazoa; Arthropoda; Arachnida; Araneae; Nephilidae. The record is from Rfam by way of RNAcentral.
GGGCCAGUGGCGCAACGAAUAACGCGCCUGACUACGGAUCAGGAGUUUCCAGGUUCGAAUUCUGGCAGGCUCA